Long non-coding RNA from Canis lupus familiaris (dog), 1123 nucleotides. RefSeq lists it as uncharacterized. The record is from RefSeq and is a predicted model, not a curated record. NCBI's taxonomy places the organism in Eukaryota, Metazoa, Chordata, Mammalia, Carnivora, Canidae. The transcript has 3 exons.
UUCUAUGGAAUCCUGAAGGGUUCUGUAGCCACCAGAGGACUCGGAAGCCCCACCGCAAAAGGCCUACAACACCACCUCCCAAGCACCCAUGGGCACACCAGCUGCCAGCGUCCUAGAGUGACCUGUAACCUGCCUUGGCAGAGCACCCAGAGCUCCCGGGCCGCCACUGGAGUCCUACGACUUUCCUCCCAGGGUCACAGACUCCAUCUGUUCCAUUUUUAAGAGGCCAGUCCAAAUGGUGCUAUUAUUCUGUGUCCCAGCACAGCCUGGAAAGAGUCUCUCACCGUGACUCACCACUACCGGCUCCUGAACAAUGGUCUGUGGGCUCCAUCACUCACGCUUGCUGCCCCACGGGACUGGGAAAAGCUGGUUCUAGGUGCAGACGGUGGCGGGCAGCUGAGUAACGAUCCGUGGGUGAGGACCGAUCCAGGGUGGCCUUUGGGCAUCGAGGAACAGGUGCAGCAUGAGAGGAGGUGACCCAGAGUCCCGUGAGGGAGCAGAGACUCUGCAAAAACAGAGAGAAUGAGACAGAAAGAGCACUUGAUUUGGAGUCAGCCAGACGGAUUGAAGAUGGAAAAAUUACUGACACCCUCAGAAGCUCAUUUUUCUCCUUUCCGGGCACCCUGUGUUGUUCACCAUCCUGCCCAUUGCCCCGUUCGGAUCCCAUACAAUCAAGGCUUGUCCAUUUGACGGGUUAAGUAUUUCCUGAAUCCACGCACACAGCCAUGGCCCUCUCCAGGUCGUCAUCCCCUUCUCCUGAUGGGCUGCAGCAGCCUCCCCCCAACCCUGGUGUCUCGGCUGUGGCCUUGCCCGUUGUCCACCCAUUCUCCUCUCUGGUGAGGCUGAAUGAAAUCCACCUGCGGGUCUAUCCUGCUGUAAGUCUUCCAUGACUCUCCAUACAACCUCCAUACAACCAUCUCAAGUUUGUUUGGGGCCGCCAUAUGCUUAGUUAGAAAUCCUACUUUCUAGUUUUCCUGGAAGCUUGUGACCAGGUUCUGGUCAAGGAGAUGUAAACAAAAAUCUACGGGCUGGGCUUCUAGGGAAGCCGUAUUUUCCUGAUUCAAAGGAAGGAAUUCAACUGGUACAAUGCACCUUUUUCUCUUCCCUGUUCCUGUCUGGUACC